UACGUAGGGUGCGAGCGUUGUCCGGAAUUACUGGGCGUAAAGAGCUCGUAGGUGGUUUGUCGCGUUGUCCGUGAAAACUCACAGCUCAACUGUGGGCGUGCGGGCGAUACGGGCAGACUGGAGUACUGCAGGGGAGACUGGAAUUCCUGGUGUAGCGGUGGAAUGCGCAGAUAUCAGGAGGAACACCGGUGGCGAAGGCGGGUCUCUGGGCAGUAACUGACGCUGAGGCGCGAAAGCGUGGGGAGCGAACAGG
Molecule: ribosomal RNA, 253 nt
Filed under: uncultured bacterium
Lineage: Bacteria
Description: partial 16S ribosomal RNA
Rfam family: Bacterial small subunit ribosomal RNA
Source: RNAcentral